This 45-nucleotide non-coding RNA is filed under the name Schistosoma mattheei. Lineage: Eukaryota; Metazoa; Platyhelminthes; Trematoda; Strigeidida; Schistosomatidae. The record is from RNAcentral.
ACUCAGUUGACGAGUCCCAAACAGGACGAAACUUACAUCUUGAAU